GCCCUAGUAGUUCAAUGGAUAGAACAUCGGUCUUCUAAACCGACAAUCCAAGUUCGAUUCUUGGCUGGGGUA
Molecule: transfer RNA, 72 nt
Filed under: Ackermannviridae sp.
Lineage: Duplodnaviria; Heunggongvirae; Uroviricota; Caudoviricetes; Pantevenvirales; Ackermannviridae
Also listed under: 1 other name
Description: tRNA-Arg
Rfam family: tRNA
About the family: Transfer RNA (tRNA) molecules are approximately 80 nucleotides in length.
Source: RNAcentral